UAUUGCACAAUGGGGGAAACCCUGAUGCAGCGACGCCGCGUGAGGGAAGAAGGUUUUCGGAUUGUAAACCUCUGUCUUCGGUGACGAAACGAGACGGUAGCCGAGGAGGAAGCCACGGCUAACUACGUGCCAGCAGCCGCGGUAAUACGUAGGUGGCAAGCGUUGUCCGGAAUUACUGGGUGUAAAGGGAGCGUAGGCGGGAAAGCAAGUUGAAUGUUUAAGGUACGGGCUCAACCUGUACAAGCGUUCAAAACUGUUUUUCUUGAGUGGAGUAGAGGUAAGCGGAAUUCCUAGUGUAGCGGUGAAAUGCGUAAAUAUUAGGAGGAACACCAGUGGCGAAGGCGGCUUACUGGGCUUUAACUGACGCUGAGGCUCGAAAGCGUGGGUAGCAAACAGG
This 397-nucleotide ribosomal RNA is filed under the name uncultured bacterium. Its description in RNAcentral is "bacterial SSU rRNA". It matches the Rfam family "Bacterial small subunit ribosomal RNA", at positions 362 to 776 of the family's 1533-position model. The record is from RNAcentral.